Molecule: non-coding RNA, 231 nt
Organism: Pelobates cultripes (western spadefoot toad)
Lineage: Eukaryota; Metazoa; Chordata; Amphibia; Anura; Pelobatidae
Source: the annotation of a GenBank genome assembly
AUUAUUGUUUCCAUUUUUAUCUCCCACUUGGCCGUCUGUCACUACAUAGAAGAGGAUACUCGCCGUAUAUACUGUAAGCGGGGAUAAUACCGCUGCAAGCCAUUCACACCAGAGCUGGAUUAAGCUCUGUCAACUGUAAGUAAGACCUCUCCUAUUUUAACUAUUUUGGAUCAUCUUUCUCAUCACUCACCACCUUCCUCCACAUCUUUUGGAUAUCGUAAUAAGUAGAAC